This 465-nucleotide ribosomal RNA is filed under the name uncultured bacterium. RNAcentral's name for it is "partial 16S ribosomal RNA". It matches the Rfam family "Bacterial small subunit ribosomal RNA", at positions 28 to 507 of the family's 1533-position model. The record is from RNAcentral.
GACGAACGCUGGCGGCGUGCUUAACACAUGCAAGUCGAACGGAAAGGCCCCUUCGGGGGUACUCGAGUGGCGAACAGGUGAGUAACACGUGAGUAACCUGCCCUUGACUUCGGGAUAACUUCAGGAAACUGGGGCUAAUACCGGAUAGGAAUCCUUGCUGCAUGGUGGGGGUUGGAAAGCUUCGGCGGUUUUGGAUGGACUCGCGGCUUAUCAGCUUGUUGGUGGGGUAGUGGCUUACCAAGGCUUUGACGGGUAGCCGGCCUGAGAGGGCGACCGGCCACAUUGGGACUGAGAUACGGCCCAGACUCCUACGGGAGGCAGCAGUGGGGAAUAUUGCACAAGGGGCGGAAGCCUGAUGCAGCAACGCCGCGGGCGGGAUGACGGCCUUCGGGUUGAAAACCGCUUUCAGCAGGGGCGAAGCUUGUGGUGACGGUACCUGCAGAAGAAGCACCGGCUAACUACGUG